This 124-nucleotide small RNA is filed under the name Marmota monax (woodchuck). The record is from RNAcentral. Lineage: Eukaryota; Metazoa; Chordata; Mammalia; Rodentia; Sciuridae.
GCCAGGUGCAGUGGCACACUCCUGUAAUCCCAGCAACUUGGAGGCUGAGGCAGGAGGAUUGUGAGUUCAAAGCCAAACUCAGCAAUGGUGAGGUGCUAAGCAACUCAGUGAGACCCUGUCUCUA